AGAGUUUGAUCCUGGCUCAGAUUGAACGCUGGCGGUAUGCUUAACACAUGCAAGUCGAACGGAAACGACAAGAGCUUGCUCUUGGGCGUCGAGUGGCGGACGGGUGAGUAACGCGUAGGAAUCUGCCUGAUAGUGGGGGAUAGCCCAGAGAAAUCUGGAUUAAUACCGCAUAAUAUCUAUGGAUUAAAGUGGAGGAUCUUCGGACUUCACGCUAUCAGAUGAGCCUGCGUAAGAUUAGUUUGUUGGUGAGGUAAAGGCUCACCAAGGCGACGAUCUUUAGCUGGUCUGAGAGGAUGAUCAGCCACACUGGGACUGAGACACGGCCCAGACUCCUACGGGAGGCAGCAGUGGGGAAUAUUGGACAAUGGGGGCAACCCUGAUCCAGCAAUACCGCGUGUGUGAAGAAGGCCUGAGGGUUGUAAAGCACUUUCAAUUGUGAAGAAAAGCUAGUAGUUAAUACUUAUUAGCCUUGACGUUAACUUUAGAAGAAGCACCGCUAACU
RNAcentral lists this ribosomal RNA (502 nucleotides) under uncultured bacterium. RNAcentral describes it as "bacterial SSU rRNA". It matches the Rfam family "Bacterial small subunit ribosomal RNA", at positions 8 to 502 of the family's 1533-position model. The record is from RNAcentral.